This 347-nucleotide long non-coding RNA is filed under the name Panax ginseng (ginseng). RNAcentral describes it as "long non-coding RNA (PGIN_LNC013851)". Lineage: Eukaryota; Viridiplantae; Streptophyta; Magnoliopsida; Apiales; Araliaceae. The record is from RNAcentral.
GCAAUUGUAACAAACAUUUUCCCCUUUCCUGCAUAAGCCUUUAUGUUUCUUUUACAGUUUGUACACUUUUCUAUUUUGUUAAAGUUCCCUUGGUUAUAAUCGACAUUUCCUAAAUCGUGGUCUUUCAUCUUUCUUAUUCCCUUCUUUCUUCAAGCUACAUACGAUUUGUUAAUUUUUACUCCCAUCUGAUCAAUUUGGAUUUAAAGCAUAUCUUGUUCUUCCAUUGUUUCUAUUAAUGACUUUCGAAAUUGACUAUUUAAUAAUUUUUCUAUUUCCCACAACUUUUCUAGAGAAGAAACAUUAAUCCUAAGAUUCUGCACUUCCGUUGAUGCCUGGUCAGCUCCAAC